CAGGGAAUCUUGGGCAAUGGGGGCAACCCUGACCCAGCCACGCCGCGUGAGGGAUGAAGGCCUUCGGGUCGUAAACCUCUGUCGGGAGGGAAGAAAGGUCUCCACUCGAACAGGUUGGGGGCUUGACGGUACCUCCAAAGGAAGCGCCGGCUAACUCCGUGCCAGCAGCCGCGGUAAUACGGAGGGCGCAAGCGUUGUUCGGAAUCACUGGGCGUAAAGCGCGUGUAGGCGGCUUGGCAAGUCGGGUGUGAAAUCCCGGGGCUCAACCCCGGAACUGCACCCGAAACUGCCUCGCUCGAGUCCCGGAGAGGGUGGCGGAAUUUCCGGUGUAGAGGUGAAAUUCGUAGAUAUCGGAAGGAACACCAGUGGCGAAGGCGGCCACCUGGACGGUGACUGACGCUGAGACGCGAAAGCGUGGGGAGCAA
RNAcentral lists this ribosomal RNA (425 nucleotides) under uncultured bacterium. RNAcentral describes it as "bacterial SSU rRNA". It matches the Rfam family "Bacterial small subunit ribosomal RNA", at positions 355 to 771 of the family's 1533-position model. The record is from RNAcentral.